This 372-nucleotide ribosomal RNA is filed under the name uncultured organism. RNAcentral describes it as "bacterial SSU rRNA". It matches the Rfam family "Bacterial small subunit ribosomal RNA", at positions 526 to 896 of the family's 1533-position model. The record is from RNAcentral.
CGAAGGUGGCAAGCGUUACUCGGAAUUACUAGGCGUAAAGGGCAGGUAGGUGGUUUGGUUAGUCUGUUGUGAAAGCUCCCGGCUUAACUGGGAGAGGUCAACGGAUACUGCCAGACUUGAGUAUAGGAGAGGUUACUGGAAUUCCCGGUGUAGCGGUGAAAUGCGCAGAGAUCGGGAGGAACACCAAUGGCGAAAGCAGGUAACUGGACUAUUACUGACACUCAGCUGCGAAAGCUAGGGGAGCAAACAGGAUUAGAUACCCUGGUAGUCCUAGCUGUAAACGAUGCACAUUAGACGUGAGGGGUAUCGACCCCCUUCGUGUCGACGCUAACGCAUUAAAUGUGCCGCCUGGGGAGUACGGCCGCAAGGUUG